This is a non-coding RNA of Meriones unguiculatus (Mongolian gerbil), 40 nucleotides long. The record is from Rfam. NCBI's taxonomy places the organism in Eukaryota, Metazoa, Chordata, Mammalia, Rodentia, Muridae.
UCAUGGCGGGGGCUGGGGUCAGCCUCAUGGCGGUGGCUGG